GUCUGCUUGGAGAUAUAAGAAGUCUAGCCUGCUCUCUGAAUAAUUUAAGGGCCGCGGUAAUCUGACCGUGCAAAGGUAGCGUAAUAGUUAGUUUUUUAAUUGGAAUCUUGUAUGAAUGGUUGGACAAAAGAAAUACUGUCUCUGUGAUUUAUAUUGAAUUUACCUUUUAAGUGAAAAGGCUUAAAUAUUUUAAAAAGACGAUAAGACCCUAUAAAGCUUUAUGAAAAAAGUUAAUUUGGUUUAUUUAAGUUAUAAAGAUUUGAUUGAUUUAUUCAUUUUGUUGGGGAGACAGCAUUAUAAUUUUUAAUAACUGUGGAUAUAUAAAACAAAGGUAGAUGUUAAAAAAGGUAAAAGAUCCUAUUUAAAGAUUUAAAGUUCAAGUUACUUUAGGGAUAACAGCGUUAUUUUUCUUAAGAGUUCAUAUCGAAAGAAAAGAUUGCGACCUCGAUGUUGAAUUAAAAUUUCUAGGUGAUUGCAGAAGUUACCUUAGAAGGUCUGUUCGACCUUUAAAUUUUUACAUGAUUUGAGUUCAGACCGGCGUAAGCCAGGUCGGUUUCUAUCUUUUAAUUUAGAAUAAGUUAUUUUAGUACGAAAGGAUUUAAUAACUAAAAGUAUUUUUAUAUUGGUAGGCUACUUUGGCAGAAGUGUAUGUGUUGGA
RNAcentral lists this ribosomal RNA (658 nucleotides) under Pinnixa arenicola. RNAcentral describes it as "partial 16S large subunit ribosomal RNA". It matches the Rfam family "Bacterial large subunit ribosomal RNA", at positions 1831 to 2760 of the family's 2925-position model. Lineage: Eukaryota; Metazoa; Arthropoda; Malacostraca; Decapoda; Pinnotheridae. The record is from RNAcentral.